Molecule: ribosomal RNA, 628 nt
Filed under: Peribacillus simplex
Lineage: Bacteria; Bacillati; Bacillota; Bacilli; Caryophanales; Bacillaceae
Description: bacterial LSU rRNA
Rfam family: Bacterial large subunit ribosomal RNA
Source: RNAcentral
AACGGAGGCGCCCAAAGGUUCCCUCAGAAUGGUUGGAAAUCAUUCGUAGAGUGUAAAGGCACAAGGGAGCUUGACUGCGAGACCUACAAGUCGAGCAGGGACGAAAGUCGGGCUUAGUGAUCCGGUGGUUCCGCAUGGAAGGGCCAUCGCUCAACGGAUAAAAGCUACCCCGGGGAUAACAGGCUUAUCUCCCCCAAGAGUCCACAUCGACGGGGAGGUUUGGCACCUCGAUGUCGGCUCAUCGCAUCCUGGGGCUGUAGUCGGUCCCAAGGGUUGGGCUGUUCGCCCAUUAAAGCGGUACGCGAGCUGGGUUCAGAACGUCGUGAGACAGUUCGGUCCCUAUCCGUCGCGGGCGCAGGAAAUUUGAGAGGAGCUGUCCUUAGUACGAGAGGACCGGGAUGGACGCACCGCUGGUGUACCAGUUGUCUUGCCAAAGGCAUAGCUGGGUAGCUACGUGCGGACGGGAUAAGUGCUGAAAGCAUCUAAGCAUGAAGCCCCCCUCAAGAUGAGAUUUCCCAUGGCGCAAGCUAGUAAGAUCCCUGAAAGAUGAUCAGGUUGAUAGGUCAGAGGUGGAAGCAUGGUGACAUGUGGAGCUGACUGAUACUAAUAGAUCGAGGACUUAACCAAC